GCUGACGGAGCAGGGCUGUGUGUUCCAGGAGAGACAUGGCUGGGAGAGACCUGGCUGGUUCAACAAAGACGGGCCCGCCCCUGUUAAAGACUACGAUUACUAUGGAGCGUAUGACAUUAAGAAGAAUAUGAACUACAAAUACAACGAAUUGCUGGGAAAAGAGUACACCUUUGACUUCCCUCCACAUCAUGACG
Molecule: non-coding RNA, 194 nt
Organism: Plectropomus leopardus (leopard coralgrouper)
Lineage: Eukaryota; Metazoa; Chordata; Actinopteri; Perciformes; Serranidae
Source: RefSeq, a predicted model, not a curated record